This 254-nucleotide ribosomal RNA is filed under the name uncultured bacterium. RNAcentral's name for it is "partial 16S ribosomal RNA". It matches the Rfam family "Bacterial small subunit ribosomal RNA", at positions 524 to 776 of the family's 1533-position model. The record is from RNAcentral.
GACGAACCGUGCGAACGUUAUUCGGAAUCAUUGGGCUUAAAGGGCGCGUAGGCGGCGGCGUAAGUUGGAAGUGAAAUCCCAUCGGCUCAACCGUGGAAUCGCUCCCAGUACUGCGUCGCUCGAGGGGGAUAGGGGUCUGCGGAACUACCGGUGGAGCGGUGAAAUGUGUUGAUAUCGGUGGGAACGCCAGUGGCGAAAGCGGCAGACUUGACCCUUCCUGACGCUGAGGCGCGAAAGCUAGGGGAGCAAACGGG